CAAUAGCGUAUAUUAACGUUGUUGCAGUUAAAAAGCUCGUAGUUGGAUUUCUGGAGGGAGCGUCGGCCCGUAUUUACGAGUGCGUGACGUCUCUGUCCAUCCUUGCGGGAAGGCACGGCAUUGAUUUGUUGUGUCGGAUCGCAUCAUUUACUGUGAAAAAAUUAGAGUGUUCAAAGCAGGCUUUCGCUUGAAUACAUUAGCAUGGAAUAAUAAGAUAGGACUUUGGUGCUAUUUUGUUGGUUGAGCCUAAAGUAAUGAUCAAUAGGGAUAGUUGGGGGCACCUGUAUUGCGUUGUCAGAGGUGAAAUUCUUGGAUUUACGCAAGACAAACAGCUGCGAAAGCGUCUGCCAAGGAUGUUUUCAUUAA
RNAcentral lists this ribosomal RNA (366 nucleotides) under uncultured eukaryote. RNAcentral's name for it is "partial 18S ribosomal RNA". It matches the Rfam family "Eukaryotic small subunit ribosomal RNA", at positions 592 to 976 of the family's 1831-position model. The record is from RNAcentral.